UUAUGACAAGUUGCACAACCUGAAGGCAAAACACUUCUCAUGUUAAAAGACAUGUGAACACUCAUUAACGCUUCCCAAUCCCAUCUUCUGGUUUAUUAACCACUUAGAACGUGUAAUAAAAAAAUAAAACACCAUCCCAGAGCAACCUGGGGAAUCCUCUCAUCACCCUGCCCAAAUCCUUUGGAAGUUACUCAACACCAUCACAUACAAACCUGCAUUUCACCUCACAGGAACCCCUCAAGGCUUCACAAUUACACUUGACCUUAAAACCUAGUAUUUAAUGUUGUUUAAUGAAAAUCCAGUAGGAAAGCUGGAAAUUUAGGACUAGAGGGAAUGUUAACCUGCUCAUCAUCAGACAGGACAACACAGUGUACAGAAAAUUCUGCAAGUAUUAAUCCUGUUAAUACAAACUCAAACCAGCUCCUUUGCUGUCCCCAAAUCAACCUGUCAACUCCCAGAGGCUGUUUAUACUCAAUAAUCCAUUGAUUUUUUUCACUGAUCAUCCACAAUCUUCCCAUAAGUCCCCUAGAAAAGCGAGCAGGUGGAAGACACAGUUGUGGGGGAGACAGAACAAGUGGCCUUAGGAUACCACAGAAAGGAAUAAUUUAAAGGCCACAGUAAAAUAAUUUGAAGCCUAAAUUAUCAGCUAUUUACUGUUUCAGAGACCAAAUAGAUGAAUAUGAUUCUUAAUCAAGUGACAAAAGCAGACACAGCCCUUUCACAGUGAGGGCUCCCAUUUAAACCUGCAGUUCCUCAGCAUUUUCCCUCCCCCAUUCAACCCAGGUGUGAUUUACAUAAUAAAGAGGAUGUGACAUCAUCCACAGCUGGGAACUGCUACAUUCCGUAAUUAAACUAAUGAGUCUGAUGUCUAGAACCAGGCUGCACAAGGUGAUUGUGUCAGUGCUUUCAAAACCUGACCUGCAGUGUUCUAAACCUGCACCAGAAGCAGGCCACUCAUCACCCAACAGGGUAAACCCCAAGGAGUUUAAACACAGGACCACCAUCAAAAGCCCAGCGUUUACUACACUGCAAAUAUAAAAUCAUCACCACAGAAACGAGGCUUUUGGGCAAAGGAGUCACAAUUAGUGUUAAAGCUUGAGAUCUUUCGUGAGCAAAGACGUUUUAAUGUGUCACAUUUCAAAAGCAUCGACCUUCCUUUUACACGGAAAGAGCAAACCCCUCAUGGCUUUGGAGCCAGAGAGGUGCACGAGGCCCUCUGCAAGUUAAAAGUGCAUAAAACACACACAUCAUCCUUCAUACAUGAAAUAUUCUGCAGCAGGGUGGAGGACACAGUAAGUGUUAAAACAAUAUUUAAAAGUACCUGAAAAGAAUCUCCCCCGGAAAAGAGAGAGAUGGACGGAACAUCCUCCCGGACAGUUGUGCGAGUUCCCAACAACAGCUUUUCUGUACCAGUGGUUUUAAAAAAAAACAAACAAUAAAUUCACACAGCGAGUUCUGGAAUAUUUAAAACAGUUUUUUGAUACAACAGUUGCCUCAAAUCCGUGCUGUUUUGUCACAGACAGUUAUCAUGGCCUGAGCCCUGUGUGUUGGUGCUCAGGAACAUCCACGGACCAUCAUCUGUCUCGAGAGACCCAACUUUAGCCUUGUACUGAAGCCCAAACAGGUGAAUGAAUAAAUUCAGCAGCUUUUUCAGCACUUCCCUCCCAUCUAACUUGGCUCCCUCAAAUUCCAGAUAUCGAGCAGCUGAUUUAUCCAAGGUCAUGUAUAAAGAGCCCAGUCAAAAGCUGCAUCAGAUGUGGGAAGACUGGUUGGGUCUAAACGGUUGGAUAAUGUGUUGAGCAGCUUUGAAGGCAGAGAUUUCCAGCACUGAAAAAUACUGACAUUAAAAAACUACAUCUGUUUUUUGUCAUUCAACACAGGAUAAUGCAAAACUGCUUAUUUAGUCAGUGAUGGGGGAAACUUGAGAGACAAACCAAGUCAUCUCGUGUCCCUUGAGAGAUUAAAAAUGGUGGUUUAAAACUCAGCUCUCCCUAGCCU
This is a long non-coding RNA of Empidonax traillii (willow flycatcher), 1998 nucleotides long. RefSeq lists it as uncharacterized. The record is from RefSeq and is a predicted model, not a curated record. The transcript is spliced from 2 exons. NCBI's taxonomy places the organism in Eukaryota, Metazoa, Chordata, Aves, Passeriformes, Tyrannidae.